GAAGGUCGUAUAAUCGUGCAAUACAUGAAGGUCGUAUAAUCGUGCAAUACAUGAAGGUCGUGUAAUCGUACAAUACAUGAAGGUGGUGUAAUACACAAUCUUGAAUCUUACAUAACCUUACACGACCAAAUCAUGUGUUACAUGACAAUAUUAUAAUCGGCAGAAUCCAUUAAUUUUUCACAAUUUACAUGCAACAAAACAACUAAAAAUUUAUUUUUGAACAUGUUAUGAGAGACCUGCAACUAAUUAAUCUAUUUUUUCAAUAUAAAACCUUAAUUUUUUUCCCUAAAUACUAAUAAAAAAAUUAAUUAUAGGGAAUUACUUGCCUCAACUAGUUACAUUCAGACCAUUUUGCAGUAAAGGAUCAGCUCUCGUUGGCGAUUAUGUAGUGAUGAACUAGGCUUCUCUUUCUCAGAUGUGACAGCUUUCCCUUCUCAGACUCAAUUUGCUCGUGUUGAAAUUCGAUUUAGUAUGUAUGGAGAAUGAAUAUUUGUUUAAGUAGAGGUGAUGUCAGUAAGCAAAUUACAGAGGUGAUGCUGGUUAAUAUUCGAUUUAGCAUGUAUGAGAAUGGAGGAUGAGUAUUUGUUUGUUUGAGUAAAAGUAAUAGAGGGAAUUACAGCAGAUAUGAGUGUUUGUUUGUUUGAGUAGAGAGAGAGAGAGGUCCUGUCGGUUGAGUUGAAGUGUUUUAAAAUGGGGAUAACUUAGUAAUUUUUUAUUAAUUUUUAAAGAAUAUUAAUGAAAAUUUUGUCAAAAUUAAAUUUUAGGGUAUUGAGAUAAUUUUUAAAGCAGGAAGGUGUACCUGCUGCAAUUCCCUCGCAACACCCAAACCAAAAACGACGACCGGUUUUAGCAACUCGUCUCCGUCGCUCGUCACGCUACAGCCCACCGUCGUUGCCAUUGUCUGCGUCGCAUCGUCGUCAGCUGCCCUGCGUCGUCGUCUGCUGCCUUGCGUCGUCAACUGCCUUAGUCACGCAGCUCCGAUUCUGAUUUGAGCUCCGUUCGUCACGAUCUGCUGCUGCUGAUGAUGAUGAUGAUUGAUGAUGUAAUUGUGGUGUAAUGAUGAAGCUGAUGUAAUUGUGAUGACGAUGAUGAUGAUGAAGAUGAAACGGAAUUUUGAUGUUGGCGAAGAAGAAGUGAAAGAAUUUAAGAGAAAAUAUUGUUUGGUUGCUGAGAAAAUAUCUCAGAAAAUUUCCAGAGAACUUUCAGAUUUCUUGUAUUUAUUUUCUUUUUAAAAGAAAUGUUAUGAUUACAACUUAUUUAUACGCAAAGCUUAAGGAUUACUAAAGCUAAUGACUAACUAAUUCAGUAGAAUCUACACAUGCAUAACCACAGCUCGAUAUACAGAGUAAUCACACCAGACUGUUAACUACUUAAGCUGAGGUGGCAGCUGAGCUGUCAUUCUGCUUACAUUCAUCUGACGUCACCAGCUUGCUGGUUUUCCUUAGCUUGUGCAGCUUCCUCUUUUCAGCACAAUGAGCUUCUCUAACAGCCCCCCUCAAACUCAAAGGACAAGGGUGAACAUUGAGUUUGGCCCUCAAGUAAUUAAACUGUAUGAAGGAAAGAGGUUUAGUCAUUAUAUCUGCAACUUGAUCUGCACUUGCUAUAUAUUGAAUGCUGAGCUCCUUAUUAAGAACCUUGUUGCGAAUAAAAUGUAUGUCAAUCUCAAUGUGUUUUGUUCUGGAAUGGUAAACUGGGUUCUUGGCCAAUUCAGCUGCACUAAUGUUAUCACACCAAAUAAUAGGUUUAGCUGUGCAGCAUACUCCAAUUUCAGCAAACAAGGACUGCAACCAAGUUAAUUCUGCACUAGCUGAUGCCAAUGCCCUGUACUCACUCUCGGCACUUGACCUAGCUAUUACUCCUUGCUUUUUAGAAGACCAUGAUAUAAGAUUAUUACCCAGGUAGAUACAAUAUGCACUCACUGAUUUCCUGUCAUCUAAAUCACAUGCCCAAUCAGCAUCUGUAAAUCCAGUAAGCUCCAUAUUGCCUUCUUUGAUGAACUUUAAACCAUAGUCCUGAGUGGCCUUUAGAUAUCUUAAAACCCUUUUACAUGCCAUGAGAUGCUGUAGUGUAGGAGCAGAUACAUACUGACUGAGUUUGUUAACUGCAAAAGCAAUCUCAGGUCUUGUCAAAACCAGAUACUGCAUGCUUCCAACAAUGCUUCUAUAGUAUGUAGGAUCUUCAAGAUAAUGACCAAGCUGUCCUUGAACAGACUUCUGUAACUUCAGACCAGUGCUUAAAGGAGUAUCAAUGCCCUUACAAUUAAUCAUAUCAACCUUAGCUAACAAAUCUCUGAUGUAUUUCCUUUGAGACAGAAAUAUGCAAUCUUCAUCAUAUAAGACUUCUACCCCAAGGAAAUAAGAUAAAAUGCCAAGAUCUUUUAAAGCAAAGGUUGAGCUUAGUGUUGCAAUAAAAUGCUCUAAUUCAGCACUGCUAGGACCUGUAACUAAGAUAUCAUCCACAUAUAUCAACACAAGAAUCAUGGAAGUAUGACUCCUUUUCAAAAACAGGGAUGUAUCAGAAGUAGUAUUAGUGAAUCCCCACUGCAGCAAGCAACUCUUAAGUUUAUCAUACCAAGCUCGAGGAGCUUGUUUAAGUCCAUAAAGAGACUUGUGCAGUUUACACACAUAACCAGGCUUUGUGUUGUCAAUAAAACCUGUUGGCUGAGACAUAUAAACUUCUUCUGUCAAAUCCCCAUUGAGAAACGCAUUAUUGACAUCAACUUGUCUAAUUUUCCAUUUGUUCAUCACUGCUAAGCUUAAUACCACUCUGACAGUUGCUGGUUUAAUAACUGGACUAAAAGUUUCAAAGUAGUUUACUCCUGCAAUUUGUUGAAAACCUUUGGCAACAAGCCUAGCUUUGUAUUUGGCUACACUCCCAUCAGUGUUGUAUUUAAUCCUAUACACCCACUUAUUAUCCACAACCUGUUGAUCAGUCUCUUUAGGAACCAGAGACCAAGUAUUAUUGUGAACUAAGGCAUCAUACUCAUCUUGCAUAGCCUUCACCCAUUUGGAAUCACUCAAAGCUUCUUGCACUGAAUCUGGUUCUUUGUGAGUGAGAAUGGCUGCAUACACUUUUGGUUUAAAAAUGCCAGAUUUGCUUCUGGUGGUCAUAGGAUGAAUAUUGGAUUGUAUUUGAGGUAAGUCAACAUGAGGAGUUAAUGAUGUUGUAUUAUCAGAAGCAGAUGCAGAUAAGAAAUGUUGUGUAUUAACAGGUAGAUGAGUUUGAGGACUUACUUGCUGUGAAUUUUGAUCAUUUGUUGUUUGUGCAGGAUUUUCUGAGUGAGUUGAAUUGCUGCUGUCAGGGUUUGCAGAUAAAGAAUAACCAGUGCUAUUUUCAGGAAAUGAUUGAACAACAGGCAAAGUGGAAAGAUGAUAUAUUUGCUGAGGAGAAAAGGAAGUAGAAGAAAGAGGUGAUGAUGAUGACUUAGUGAAACAAUGAAAGUUAGAAUCAGUAGAGUAAGGAAAAGUGAGUUCAUCAAAUAUGACAUGUCUUGCUAUGUAAAGAUGACCUGAAGGAUGUAAGCACUUGUAACCUUUGUGUGAUGAACUAUAUCCUAGAAAGAUACAUUUGCUGGAAUGAUAGUCAAAUUUGUGUUGGUUAUAAUCCCUCAAGUAAGGAUAGCAUGCACAACCAAAACACUUAAGCAUAUCAUAGUUGGGUUGGUGUUUGAAAAUUUUCUCAUAGGGAGACAAAAGUCUGAGAACAACAGAAGGCAAUCUAUUUAUGAUGUACACAGCUGUAUGAAAUGCUUCCCACCAAAAUUUAAAGGGUAAUUUAGAUUGAGCUAGCAAUGUAAGCCCCAUUUCAACAAUAUGCCUAUGUUUUCUCUCAACCAAUCCAUUUUGAUGAUGAGUGUAUGGGCAGGAGUGUCUAAAAAUGAUACCACACUGAUUUAAGAACUCAGUGAAAGAUCUGUACUCACCCCCCAAUCAGAUUGUAACUGCUUAAUGGUGGUUUGAAACUGAUUUUCAACCUGUGUUUUGAAAAGCUUAAAGACACUUAGAGCUUCAGACUUAAACUUUAGAGGGUAGAUCCAGGUGAACCUGCUAAAAUCAUCCACAAAACUGAUAUAAUAGUGAUAUCCAUCUCUAGUGUAGACAGGUGAAGGACCCCAGAGAUCUGUAUGUAUCAGUUCUAAAAGCUUGGUUGUUUUGGUUGUGGAUGAAGGGAAAUGAAGCUUAUGGCCUUUGCCCAUUUGACAAGCUUCACAGAUGUAUUGCAAUGCUUGUGUUAUUUGAUUAUCAGAAAAAUUUGCAGACUUGAUAUUUUUGAGAACAUGCUUUAAUAUAUAAUGAUUGGGAUGACCAAAUCUAUUAUGAAACAAAGCAAUCUUAUUCACUGAUGUUGUACAAUAUAAUGCAGUAGAUGAAUAACAAGAUUUUGAAUGGCUACAAUCUGCAUUAUUAACAUCAGUUACAGAAUUAAAAUGAAAACAUGACAGCAUUGACAUUGGCUUAUUUGAACUGAUCUGAGAUAGAAAAGAUGAUUUAGAGAAUGAGUAUGGUUUGAAUAACAGCCUGUAUAAUCCUCUUUCAGCAAUACCCUGCAGCAGAACUUCCCCCUUCAGAGCAUCCUUCACAUAACAAAUAUUUCCAAGAAAUUCAACAGACAAAUGGUUAUCAGAUGUGAGUUUGGAAAUACUUAAUAAAUUCUUGGUAAUUGAAGGGACAAGAAGAAUAUCUUUCAGUACUAUGUGUGGGUGUUUGUGUUGAGCAAAUGAAAUUUUAAAAACAAAUUUAGCAUCACCAACAUGAGUUAUGGGCAAACCUUGUCCAUUUCCAAUGAUAAGCUGAUCAGAACCAUUGAAUUCCUCUCUGACCUGCAUAUUAGCCAUGUUGUUGGUUAAGUGAUGAGUUGCUCCACUAUCAAGAUACCACCCUUCAUCAGCAGGCCCUUCAAAAUUUGCAAGAUAAGCAGCUCCAGUAGCUCCAGGUGCAGAAGACAUUUCAGAUGAACAAUGAGGCAUAGAAGAAUAUGUCACUGGAUCCAGAUUGUAAGACUGAUAAUUUGAACCGUUCAUAGCAUAAGAAUCAUCAAAGUAUGGUGCAAACUCAGCAUGUGAAUCAAAUGUAGACAUAUAAGCUGACUUAGGUCCUCUUCCUCUGCCAAAAUGCCUUGACUGUGGCACAUAAUUCUCAAUAUAUCUAUGCCAACAAGCAUCAGCUGUGUGCCCUGACUUAUGACAUAUCUGACAAACAGGAAUGUUAUCAUCUGAUUCAAUUCCAGCUGACACAAAACCUUGACCAUGAGGCUUAGGAUGUGAUAAAACUUUGUGAAACUGCAUUGGCAUAGAGUUGCCUCUUCCAAAAUUAUGACCACUGUUAUUAAAGCCUCUAGGAUAUGUAUUAAACAUCAUUCCUCUUCCAGCAUUUCUGUUUCCAUUAUGAAUUUGUCCACGAUAUCCUCCAUAACCAAAACCUCCUCUUCUAUUGUUCCCUCUGACUUGAGAAUAAUUGGAAUUCAUCACUCCAUAGUUAGCAUUGAACAUGACUUUAGUAUUCUGAUUGGUCUGACUUUGUUCUAAUCGUGCCUCAUGUGUUAACAGUAAGGCAUAAGCAUCAUCAUAAGACAUCUUAUUAGCUGUGAUAAUAGAUGCAAGAUCUAGAUAACCAGUCCCUAAUCCAUUUAGAACUUGCAUUAACAGAUCCCUUUCUGACAUAGGACUACCAGCACAGGCAAGUUUAUCAGCUAAUAUUUUGACUUUUAAGCAAUAUUCUUCAACAGACAUGGAUUCCUUCCUAAGUACAUUCAAUUCAUAACGAAGUUGCAUUAUUUUAGCUUCAGACUGAGCUCCAAAUUGUUUCUCAAUAGAUCUCCAAGCAUCUUGUGAAUUGUCACAAUUAAGAAUAGAACUGAGAAUACCUUCAUUAACUGAUGAUAACAGCCAGCCGAGUAGUAUUUGAUCCUGAGCUCUCCAAUUUAUGUAUGCUGGAUUAUCUACUUUCUGCACUGAUCCAUCAGCUGUUGUUUGAAUGAUAUGUUGCUCUGGUAUGAUCUGAUUAUCAGAUAUGAAAUCUUCAAGCCGAUUUCCUCUGAUUGAUGUAAGAACUUGUUUUCUCCAGAUUAGGAAAUUAGAUCGAUCUAGUUUUAUUGGAUUACUGAAUGAGAAUGAGAUCUGUGAAGGUUGAUUUGCAUUUGUUGAAUUUGAAAGUGUUGUUGUGUUGCUGGAACUAGCCAUAUUGGCUCUGAUACCAUGAAAGAAUUUAAGAGAAAAUAUUGUUUGGUUGCUGAGAAAAUAUCUCAAAAAAUUUCCAGAGAACUUUCAGAUUUCUUGUAUUUAUUUUCUUUUUAAAAGAAAUGUUAUGAUUACAACUUAUUUAUACGCAAAGCUUAAGGAUUACUAAAGCUAAUGACUAACUAAUUCAGUAGAAUCUACACAUGCAUAACCACAGCUCGAUAUACAGAGUAAUCACACCAGACUGUUAACUACUUAAGCUGAGGUGGCAGCUGAGCUGUCAUUCUGCUUACAUUCAUCUGACGUCACCAGCUUGCUGGUUUUCCUUAGCUUGUGCAGCUUCCUCUUUUCAGCACAAUGAGCUUCUCUAACAAGAAGAAACGAAAUUGAUAGGAGGAAGAAGAAGAUAUUUGUGAUGAUGAUGAUGUUGAUGAAGGAGAUGGAAUUAACCAUGGAGAAGUAACGAAGAAAUUGCAGAAGAGGGAGAAAGAAAGAAAGAGAAGAAAAGAAGAGGAAAGGAAAAAAAACGAAGAGAGAUAAAAUAAUAAUAAAAAAUAAAAAAGGAAAAAUUAUUAUUAUUA
RNAcentral lists this long non-coding RNA (6756 nucleotides) under Citrus maxima (pomelo). Its description in RNAcentral is "long non-coding RNA (CMAX_LNC000122)". Lineage: Eukaryota; Viridiplantae; Streptophyta; Magnoliopsida; Sapindales; Rutaceae. The record is from RNAcentral.